This is a non-coding RNA of Pelobates cultripes (western spadefoot toad), 415 nucleotides long. NCBI's taxonomy places the organism in Eukaryota, Metazoa, Chordata, Amphibia, Anura, Pelobatidae. The record is from the annotation of a GenBank genome assembly.
CCUGAAGCGACGGCGAUACGUUUCCGGGGUGACGGCAUAUCUGGUGAGCAGUGCAGCCUUCACCCGGCGAUACUGCGCAAUAUCUUCCUCAGUAAGCGCCCGAAAAGCCUCAUUUGCUUUUCCUGAUAGCUUUCCAGCCAAAAUAGUGACCCAUUGGUCUAGUGGUAUUUGGUAUAGUGAGCACUGCCUCUCGAAGUCAGCCAAAUAUCCGUCAAUCUCUUCCUCACUUUCCACAAACGCUUUGAACGCAGUGAAGGGUAUUUUCUGCCCUGUAGCAGCGGGUGGGGGAGUGUGAACUGCGUGUGCAAUGGGUUGUCUAGCUCUUGCCAGUUCAAGUUCGUGUCCCCUCCUAUUUUGUAUCUCUGUUCUCGCUUCCCGGAACAGCUGAUCUAUUAGUUCCACGGAUGUUGCUGGG